Molecule: ribosomal RNA, 484 nt
Filed under: uncultured bacterium
Lineage: Bacteria
Description: partial 16S ribosomal RNA
Rfam family: Bacterial small subunit ribosomal RNA
Source: RNAcentral
AUUGGACGCUGGCGGCAGGCCUAACACAUGCAAGUCGAGCGGAUGAAGGGAGCUUGCUCCUGGAUUCAGCGGCGGACAGGUGAGUAAUGCCUAGGAAUCUGCCUGGUAGUGGGGGAUAACGUCCGGAAACGGGCGCUAAUACCGCAUACGUCCUGAGGGAGAAAGUGGGGGAUCUUCGGACCUCACGCUAUCGGAUGAGCCUAGGUCGGAUUAGCUAGUUGGUGGGGUAAAGGCCUACCAAGGCGACGAUCCGUAACUGGUCUGAGAGGAUGAUCAGUCACACUGGAACUGAGACACGGUCCAGACUCCUACGGGAGGCAGCAGUGGGGAAUAUUGGACAAUGGGCGAAAGCCUGAUCCAGCCAUGCCGCGUGUGUGAAGAAGGUCUUCGGAUUGUAAAGCACUUUAAGUUGGGAGGAAGGGCAGUAAGUUAAUACCUUGCUGUUUUGACGUUACCAACAGAAUAAGCACCGGCUAACUUCGUG